Molecule: non-coding RNA, 3147 nt
Organism: Durio zibethinus
Lineage: Eukaryota; Viridiplantae; Streptophyta; Magnoliopsida; Malvales; Malvaceae
Source: RefSeq, a predicted model, not a curated record
UAUGAAAAUCAAUAUAUGUAUCAAUAUGUUCACAGCCAUAAUAAUGAUCAAAAGUUAGUACGCUUGAGCUCAUUUGCUACUAAAGAAGUAAGAAAAAAGAGGAUGGCUAGGCAAAGAAGGUUUUCAUCACGCCAUAGAAAUCAUAAUCAUCAUAAUAAUCAACAAAGCCAAUACCAAAAUCAAAGCCUUAACUAACUCGCAAAGCUUGUGAAUGAUAAUUGUGUGCUAACAGCCCAAGCUAACCUUAAAAACUAGCCUAUUGGACUUUGGUUAAUGACGGUGUAGCUCUAAGACCUCUGGUUCUACCUUUUGAGGUUGCUUUGGUACAUUCUAUGGAUUGACUUGCCAUGUAAGGACAAAGUUAUCAGCGAAAAAUGGCAUUGGAUAGAAGACAGACAGGAACCUAAGAAGAAUUUGUGGUUUCUUUUGCAAAAAGUGUUGAAGUAGAGCGAUGUAGGCAAUCUCGAAAGAAUCAUUCUUUCAAAGGUUGACUGAUAGGAUUGAUAAAUUUGUCGAAUGAGUAGCAAGUAAUUCCAGCAAUUGAAAUAGAGGUGAGAUUUUUUUUGUAUUUUUUAAGUGAAAUUGUUCAAUUUAUAUGGUAUAAACUUCCAUUAUGUGGAUAUUAAAUAAUGUAUAAAUUAUUAGUAGAUGUUUAUGGGAAACAAGGCAUAUAUUAUUAUAUAAGUUUUUCAAGUCUGGCUUAGAAAUAUUUUCAUACUUUAGCAUUAUUCAAUUAUUAUUAUUUGUAGUAAAUUGAAGCUACACAAUAAGCCAUAAUGAGAGUGUAUGUUGCAUUUCACAUUUCACUUAUUAGAAAAAAAUGGGGAAAUGUUGUAUUUUAAACUUACAAUAAUUAGCUUUUGCUUGUGUAUUGUUAGAUUUGAGGGUCAAAUUGACUUGAUACCUUGAUGUCUUCUAUACUUUGGCUUGGAAAACAAUUUUUUUUUUGUGUAUCUUGAAAUUUUGAAUUCCAUAAGUUACCCCAAAAAAGGUAUAAAAAAAAUUAUUAUACGUCAUUUAUUUCUUAUAAGUUUAUCAAGGAGUUUGUUAUAAUUGUUUUUGUUGUUUGUACACAUCUCAUUGUUUCAAGAUGGUAAAAAGUGAUUGGAGGCUGAUAGUAUUGCUUUAUAAUAUCCUUGCUUCGAAGUUCUAUAUGAGUAUUAUGAAGAUGUUGCAAGUGGAAGUAAGAUUUGUAAUGUUGGUUUAGCUAGGCGUCGAUUUCAUGUAUGUUUGUAACACUAUAUUCUUGCUUUUUUCAAUUUUGCUCAUGAUAAAUUCUCAUUUCAUGAAAUAGCUUGGUUUAAUUGAUUAAUUUGUAAUUGGGAAUGGUAAAAAAAUUUUUGAAAAUGUUUCUUAGAUCGAUCAAUGUGUAUGCAUCCCGUAAAAACAUUCAAUUGAAAGUUAAAAAGGAAUAUAAUAACUACAAAGUAAGCAUCACUUCUUUAUAACUCUUUUUUUGAAAUACUUUUCUAUUCUUUGGUUGUUUCUAUUGGCAUCCGAACAUACCUUUCAUAUAUAUAUAUAUAUAUAUAUAUACACACACAUUGCCAAGUGGUUUAGUUUAGUCCUAUGAAAUAAAAAUGUGAGGUGUGGUAUUACUUUCUUUUUCUCAAUAACUUUUUGAUAAUUAUAAGCUUUUGUUUAGUUAUCUUUUCUCAAUUGGAUGGACAUUUCUUAAUAACAUAUGAAGUUUUCAACUUUGGUGUAAUCAUGCUUGAGAUUAUUAGAGGAAAAAGAACUUGAGAUUUUAUUAGGUGGAACAUUGCCCAAGCCUAAUUGGUUAUGUAAGUAAGGAUGAAUAAUUUUAUUCUUUGUUUUUUUAUCAACUUUUCUUUUCCAUACUAACUGUUGGCCAAUACUUAAGAGGUAAGAGGUUCGUAGGAAUGGCAAACAAUUUUAUAAACUUAACUUGCUUGUGGAUUAAGGUGUAUUUCAUUUUUUUUUUUUUGUAAUUAUUUAUAAAUGGUUUGUCUAGUAUAUUUGGUUAGAAUGUAAUUGAAAAUUUCCCAAACAGUUUUAUUUUGACAAGUUUGAUUGCUACAAUAGCUAUACCUUAUUUAGGACUUAAUAUUAACAAAGUUUGAAUAAGAAAGCUAAGAUUAUGUUGGUGGAUGUUUUAUUUUGAUAGGUUUGAUAACUACAACAUCUAUACCUUAUUUAGGACUUAAUAUUAACAAAGUUUGGAUGAGAAAGCUGAAAUUAUGUUGAUGGAUCAAACAUAUGCAUCACCAUCCUUAUAUUGUUAUUGCAUUGAAGUUCUAAUUAUAGAUGGAUCCAAAAGUAUAUUGAAAUUAAUAGUUAUUGGAAUCUUUUAUUUAAUUUUUCAAAUAAACAACUGCUGGUCAUUCAAAUUAUAUUCUAAAUGUUAGUCUUUACUUGAUUUUACAUAUAAGCUAUGCUAAAACUUAGGUUGCUUCAUAAGCUAUGUUGAAACUUAGAUUAUUCUCAUAAGCUAUAUGCUGAAACUUGAACCUAGGCAAUAUCUAAUUAUGGUUGUUUAGACAAUUAGGAAAAGUUUCACUAUCAAAUCAAGUGAAAGAAUUUUUAUUGUAUAAAAACUUUUAUUUGUUCUAAAUUAUUUAAUCUAAAAUAUUGUUCUUUGGUUUCUAUAAAGUUCUCUUUUAGUUCCUAGGAAAUUUUUACUAUUUGUAAGGUAAAAUAAAAGUUGGAACUAUUUUUGUAUUUUUUUUCAUUUUUGAAAAGUUGAAACUAUCAUAAAAUUGGUUCCUAGGAAAUCUUUACUAUUUAAAGAAUAAUAUAAAUGUUGAAAUUAUCCAUCACAUGUGAAAGAAAAAAGUUGUUUUAGUUUCUUUAAAUCUUUCAUAUGAGAGUAUAUAGGUGGUUUCUUUAUCUAUACCAGUAGAUGCAUUUUGAAAUACUAUUGUAGCUCGUAAAUUAGGUCCUAAAUGCAGAUGAAACUUCAAUGUUUCAUUUUUGGCAAUAUAAUUUUUUUGUUUUUUUUUUUUUCAUGAAACUUACUAUAAGUAAAUAUUUGUUAGCCUUGGUGAGGUUCAACAUGUAACAAUUUAGAUUUCCUUCUAUAAAACUUCUAAAAUGCUCCAAUAUUUGUUGCUCCAUGCCUAAAUUAAAUCUAAAUAGUUUAUUGCUUAUAUCAAUUUGGAUGUAUAGCUCAUCUUAGACAUAAUU